UUUCCAGACUCCUACGGGAGGCAGCAGUGGGGGAUAUUGCACAAUGGGCGCAAGCCUGAUGCAGCGACGCCGCGUGAGCGAAGAAGUAUUUCGGUAUGUAAAGCUCUAUCAGCAGGGAAGAAAAUGACGGUACCUGACUAAGAAGCUCCGGCUAAAUACGUGCCAGCAGCCGCGGUAAUACGUAUGGGGCAAGCGUUAUCCGGAUUUACUGGGUGUAAAGGGAGCGCAGGCGGCGCGGCAAGUCAGAUGUGAAAGCCCGGGGCUCAACCCCGGGACUGCAUUUGAAACUGCCGUGCUGGAGUGUCGGAGAGGCAAGUGGAAUUCCUAGUGUAGCGGUGAAAUGCGUAGAUAUUAGGAGGAACACCAGUGGCGAAGGCGGCUUGCUGGACGAUAACUGACGCUGAGGCUCGAAAGCGUGGGGAGCAAACAGGAUUAGAUACCCGCGUA
Molecule: ribosomal RNA, 447 nt
Filed under: uncultured bacterium
Lineage: Bacteria
Description: bacterial SSU rRNA
Rfam family: Bacterial small subunit ribosomal RNA
Source: RNAcentral